AACAGCCAAAACUUUCAACAACGGAUCUCUUGGCUCUGGCAUCGAUGAAGAACGCAGCGAAAUGCGAUACGUAAUGCGAAUUGCAGAAUCCAGCGAGUCAUCGAAUCUUUGAACGCACAUUGCGCCCGCCAGCAUUCUGGCGGGCAUGCCUGUCCGAGCGUCAUUUCCCCCCUCAGCGCGCCCUCUGGGUGCGCUGGCGUUGGGGCUCCUCCGCCCUCUGGGGCG
This 225-nucleotide ribosomal RNA is filed under the name Ophiostoma minus. RNAcentral describes it as "5.8S ribosomal RNA". The stretch from base 10 to 163 matches the Rfam family "5.8S ribosomal RNA". From Rfam's summary of the family: 5.8S ribosomal RNA (5.8S rRNA) is a component of the large subunit of the eukaryotic ribosome. The record is from RNAcentral. Lineage: Eukaryota; Fungi; Ascomycota; Sordariomycetes; Ophiostomatales; Ophiostomataceae.